Molecule: ribosomal RNA, 253 nt
Filed under: uncultured bacterium
Lineage: Bacteria
Description: partial 16S ribosomal RNA
Rfam family: Bacterial small subunit ribosomal RNA
Source: RNAcentral
UACGUAGGUGGCAAGCGUUGUCCGGAAUUAUUGGGCGUAAAGCGCGCGCAGGCGGUCCUUUAAGUCUGAUGUGAAAGCCCACGGCUCAACCGUGGAGGGUCAUUGGAAACUGGGGGACUUGAGUACAGAAGAGAAGAGUGGAAUUCCACGUGUAGCGGUGAAAUGCGUAGAGAUGUGGAGGAACACCAGUGGCGAAGGCGACUCUUUGGUCUGUAACUGACGCUGAGGCGCAAAAGCGUGGGGAGCAAACAGG